GUCAAUGCGGCAUAAUGGUUUGAGCGCUGGAUUAUGACUCUGGAGAUCCUGGGUUCGAAUCCCUGCUCAGCCA
Non-coding RNA from Phrynosoma platyrhinos (Desert horned lizard), 73 nucleotides. The record is from the annotation of a GenBank genome assembly. NCBI's taxonomy places the organism in Eukaryota, Metazoa, Chordata, Lepidosauria, Squamata, Phrynosomatidae.